Pan paniscus (pygmy chimpanzee) is the source of this 449-nucleotide long non-coding RNA. Lineage: Eukaryota; Metazoa; Chordata; Mammalia; Primates; Hominidae. The record is from Ensembl.
AGGACGGUGUGCAUCCUGUGGGGCCAGUGGGCGGUGAACUUGGCCCCUGCCACCCUCUACAUUCUGUAUGGAGCCCAGGCAACUCUCAGGAGGAAGACAAAUGCCAGAGAGCCAGGGCCAGGGAAAGCACCCAUGGGCAGCUCGAAUCCUACUGGGGAGCUUCUCGGGGAAGGAGACUUCACAUCAGACUCACCACAGAAAGCAACUUGCAGAAAAUGUCAGCGGCAACUUCUCUCCUCCCACACGGCUCCCUUCCUGGCUCCUUCUCUGGGUGUCUCCCUGACCGCUCAUCUGCCCCUUCUUCUACCAUUUCCCAGGUGUCUGAUGUGUGCUAGUUUCCAGGCUGAAGAUGAAUACGAGUGGGCCCCCUUAGUCUGAAAACUCAGUCACUGUUUUAAAAGGGACUUCAGAACCUUCAGACCUUCUGGCCCACACACGUGGGUCAUGUG